Small nucleolar RNA from Podarcis muralis (Common wall lizard), 90 nucleotides. Its record names the gene U3. It matches the Rfam family "Small nucleolar RNA U3". Rfam says of the family: Small nucleolar RNAs (snoRNAs) are involved in the processing and modification of rRNA in the nucleolus. There are two main classes of snoRNAs: the box C/D class, and the box H/ACA class. U3 snoRNA is a member of the box C/D class. The record is from Ensembl. NCBI's taxonomy places the organism in Eukaryota, Metazoa, Chordata, Lepidosauria, Squamata, Lacertidae.
AAGGCUAUACUUUCAGGGAUCACUUCUAUAGUGCAUAACUAGAGAAAUUAAUAUAGAAAUGAAUUGGUUUUUAAACAUGAAAACUACCGU